RNAcentral lists this transfer RNA (74 nucleotides) under Candidatus Pelagibacteraceae bacterium. RNAcentral's name for it is "tRNA-Arg". It matches the Rfam family "tRNA". Rfam says of the family: Transfer RNA (tRNA) molecules are approximately 80 nucleotides in length. Lineage: Bacteria; Pseudomonadati; Pseudomonadota; Alphaproteobacteria; Candidatus Pelagibacterales; Candidatus Pelagibacteraceae. The record is from RNAcentral.
GUCCCGUUAGCUCAAUUGGAUAGAGCGUCAGACUUCUAAUCUGAAGGUUAUGGGUUCGAUUCCCAUACGGGAUA